GACGGUACCUGAAGAAAAAGCAUCGGCUAACUCCGUGCCAGCAGCCGCGGUAAUACGAAGGAUGCAAGCGUUACCCGGAAUCAUUGGGCGUAAAGGGUCCGCAGGUGGCCAAUCAAGUCGGCUGUUAAAGACCGGGGCUUAACUCCGGGCAGGCAGUGGAAACUGAUUAGCUAGAGUACGGUAGGGGUAGAGGGAAUUCCCAGUGUAGCGGUGAAAUGCGUAGAUAUUGGGAAGAACACCGGUGGCGAAAGCGCUCUACUAGGCCGAAACUGACACUGAGGGACGAAAGCUAGGGUAGCGAAAGGGAUUAGAUACCCCUGUAGUCUUAGCCGUAAACGAUGGAUACUAGGUGUAGCUCGUAUCGACCCCAGCUGUGCCGAAGCUAACGCGAUAAGUAUCUCGCCUGGGGAGUACGCACGCAAGUGUGAAACUCAAAGGAAUUGACGGGGGCCCGCACAAGCGGUGGAGUAUGUGGUUUAAUUCGAUGCAACGCGAAGAACCUUACCAGGGCUUGACAUGUCGCGAAUCUAGCGGAAACGUUAGAGUGCCUUAGGGAAUGCGAACACAGGUGGUGCAUGGCUGUCGUCAGCUUGUGUCGUGAGAUGUUGGGUUAAGUCCCGCAACGAGCGCAACCCUCGUCCUUAGUUGCCAAUAUUAAGUUAGGCACUCUAGGGAUACUGCCGGGGACAACUCGGAGGAAGGUGGGGAUGACGUCAAGUCAGCAUGCCCCUUACGUCCUGGGCGACACACGUACUACAAUGGUUGGGACAAAGGGCAGCAAGCUCGCGAGAGUAAGCGAAUCUCAUCAAACCCAGCCACAGUUCAGAUUGCAGGCUGCAACUCGCCUGCAUGAAGUAGGAAUCGCUAGUAAUCGCAGGUCAGCAUACUGCGGUGAUUUCGUUCCCGGGCCUUGUACACACCGCCCGUCACACCAUGGAAGCUGGCUACGCCCGAAGUCGUUACCCUAACCCUAAGGGGAGGGGGAUGCCGAAGGUAGAGCUAGUGACUAGGGUGAAGUCGUAACAAGGUAGCCGUACCUGAAGGUGUGGCUGGAUCACCUCCUUU
RNAcentral lists this ribosomal RNA (1065 nucleotides) under uncultured cyanobacterium. RNAcentral's name for it is "bacterial SSU rRNA". It matches the Rfam family "Bacterial small subunit ribosomal RNA", at positions 471 to 1533 of the family's 1533-position model. Lineage: Bacteria; Bacillati; Cyanobacteriota. The record is from RNAcentral.